CCAGCACAACGUUUUGGAGCUGGGACUGGUGUUGGCCAAGCAAAGUAUUCAUAGUCAUAAUGGAUUGUUUAUUAUUUCAUAAACAUCCAUCUGUGUAGACUCAAUCUAAGGUAGAAAGAGAGUGGUUGUUAACCUAACCUAGCUACUGCCUCGUUUGAAAAACUGCUUGAGGAACUAAACCAGAAACCUGGCACCUUUGGCUAUAAACAUUGAGAACAGUGGCUCUGGACAGUGACAGAGCCACACUCAACCACGGCAGGCACAUUGUUUUGUCUAAUGGCCUACAUUGGGUCUGCGUCGAUGUGCUGGUAACUGGCAGCAUGAGUUUGUGAUCUCAGGAUCUGUGGACCGUUGUUUGCUGCUUUGCGCGAAAGAUCACACCAUGACACAUUCAGAGGUGCGUUAAGCUGUCUAACACCUUCUGUACUGUCCCUGCACUGUAUAAGACUGUAGAACGGCUCUUACUGUAAAUAUGCAGCAUUCACUUCAACGUGUUCUUUGUUCCAUAAGGAGGAACAUAACCAUUGCAUAAAAUGUUGGAAAUAUUUGUGUGAAAAUGUUCUCCCUCUCAGAAACUAUUGUAAAAAUGAAAUCACCAAGCUUUGAUUUAAACUCUUUUCCCCAUGAAAUGAUGUUUUAUUCAUGUGCUUUUCCAAACUAA
This is a long non-coding RNA of Monopterus albus (swamp eel), 661 nucleotides long. RefSeq lists it as uncharacterized. The transcript has 3 exons. The record is from RefSeq and is a predicted model, not a curated record. Lineage: Eukaryota; Metazoa; Chordata; Actinopteri; Synbranchiformes; Synbranchidae.